AAGUGAUCCUCCCACCAUAGCCUCUCAAAAUGUUAGGAUUACAGGCGGGAGCCACCGUGCCCAGCCCCUUCUAGGAUCAUGUAGUGCUUCCUGGGUCCUUUUCCUCUUUAUUCUCCCUCCCCCUGCACCCCAGAACUGAUGUGGGGCUGAUCUGACCUUACUGACAGGGUGGGAGCCCGGGUGCCCUUCCUACCCUCCCCAAGGGGCUCUACGACCCUCCAGGACAGUCUUUGCCCAGGUGCCCUGAGGGCUCCUGGAAGCAGCAGUGAGAUGCACUCUGGAGUAGAUGGCUCCCUCUCUCGGCCUCCAGCCUUCGAGUCCACUGACAUGCAGCCACAGCCAUUCCCGGCUCCACACUUGGCCCUUCAGCAAGGCCUCCUCACCACAUCCUGAGCCUGUUCAUCCCCUCCUCCCUGAGGCCACCGCCCGGGUCCACACCUCCUCAUCUCCCACCUGGACCAUCCAUGGCAGAAACCUCCCAUCUGGUCUCCUGGCCCCUCCUCGAUGAUCCCAACUCUGCCCACACCACAGGUGAUCUCCUGAUCUCCUCUGGCGUGAAUCACACUGCUCUGCCCCCCAGCCCACCUGGCUUGCUGUCAGUGCAGGGUCUAGGCCCCUCACCCCUCCUUUACCCCCAUCUCCCAGCCCCUCCCCAGUGUUCCAGCCCCACUGGCCUUCCUUUGCAUCUCCCAUGGUUGUGCCCCGCUCCUGCCCCAGGACCUUCGCACAUGCUGUCCCUCAGCCCUGCAAGAACCAUCUGCUGGAGCCGAGCAGAGGCUGCCUCCUUUGAACGGGACCUGUACCCUCCACUCCCCUACCGCUGCACCACACCAAUCCAUCAUCACACUUAUGAUGUCAUCUUCUCAGAGGCAACCCGUAAACCCCUCGGGGCCCAGAGGCCACGCCUCACUCGACAGCUCGGGAGAGCCGGGCACAGGGGCAGAAGCGACUUGCCGAGGUCAUGCAGUGACAUGGAGCCACAGCCUGGCUUCCUGACACCCCUUCUGCCUUACCAGGCUGAUGCACAGGUGGGGAAGCUGAGGCCCAGAGAGGAGGCAGUUCCUGGAAAGCAAGCGGGCCGAGUUCCUCACAGAGAUCAGAAGAGCAACAAGAUCUCCAGGCCAGGGCAGAGGUCCCCGCCCUGGAUGCUGGUGACACUUCCCCUGGGCGGGAGGGGCUGGGAGCAUGCAGAUCUCAGCCCUGAACAGCCUGUCCUCUCGCCUCGAGGUUCUUGGUAGGCUGGGAACAGCCUGUCCUGCUGAGCUUCCUGUCACCUCUCUAGCUGCCCACACGCCGCACAGCUGCCACCGCCGGCCCUGGCCCGGGAGAGGGGGGUCUCUGGGGAUCUUAGCAGGCCAUGGUGGGGGUGUCUUGGGGCCAGCCUGAACUGAAAGACCAUCACAGCUUGCAAGCCACCUCCCUGCUCUGUUGCUGGCUCUCCUUGAAGACAAGUGUUUUUCAAUUAACCAAAGCGGUGCAUGGCAAUGUGAUAGGGGAAUGAAACACAGCAACAGAAUCAAUGCCCCACGCUGGGCAAUAGCCGACUUUCUGUUCGCUCCCAUCCCUUCCUUCCCUCCCCGCCUCCUUCCCCUGCUCCUUCCAUUCCACAAACAUUUAUUGAGCACCCGCUGUGUGCCAGCCACUGUUCUAGGCCCUGAAGACACAGAAGUGAACAAAAAAAAAGAGUCCCUGUGCACAUCCUGGAGGGACUUUCCCCGUGUGUGUGUGUGUGUGUGUGUGUGUGUGUCUAUACAGUGUAUGGAGACAGUGGAUAAUAAAAGCUGUUUAUGAGGCA
This is a long non-coding RNA of Homo sapiens (human), 1795 nucleotides long. RefSeq lists it as uncharacterized. The record is from RefSeq and is a predicted model, not a curated record. NCBI's taxonomy places the organism in Eukaryota, Metazoa, Chordata, Mammalia, Primates, Hominidae. The transcript has 4 exons.